Molecule: non-coding RNA, 27 nt
Filed under: Rattus norvegicus (Norway rat)
Lineage: Eukaryota; Metazoa; Chordata; Mammalia; Rodentia; Muridae
Source: RNAcentral
UAAGAGUUCUCUGGAUUAGCAUGCGGC